This 346-nucleotide ribosomal RNA is filed under the name uncultured bacterium. RNAcentral's name for it is "bacterial SSU rRNA". It matches the Rfam family "Bacterial small subunit ribosomal RNA", at positions 29 to 402 of the family's 1533-position model. The record is from RNAcentral.
AACGAACGCUGGCGGCAUGCCUAACACAUGCAAGUCGAACGAGACCUUCGGGUCUAGUGGCGCACGGGUGCGUAACGCGUGGGAACCUGCCUUUAGGUUCGGAAUAACUCAGAGAAAUUUGAGCUAAUACCGGAUAAUGUCUUCGGACCAAAGAUUUAUCGCCUUUAGAUGGGCCCGCGUUGGAUUAGCUAGUUGGUGGGGUAAAGGCCUACCAAGGCGACGAUCCAUAGCUGGUCUGAGAGGAUGAUCAGCCACACUGGGACUGAGACACGGCCCAGACUCCUACGGGAGGCAGCAGUGGGGAAUAUUGGACAAUGGGCGAAAGCCUGAUCCAGCAAUGCCGCGU